GGGGAAUAUUGGACAAUGGGGGCAACCCUGAUCCAGCCAUGCCGCGUGUGUGAAGAAGGCCUUUUGGUUGUAAAGCACUUUAAGCAGGGAGGAGAGGCUAAUGGUUAAUACCCAUUAGAUUAGACGUUACCUGCAGAAUAAGCACCGGCUAACUCUGUGCCAGCAGCCGCGGUAAUACAGAGGGUGCGAGCGUUAAUCGGAAUUACUGGGCGUAAAGCGAGUGUAGGUGGCUCAUUAAGUCACAUGUGAAAUCCCCGGGCUUAACCUGGGAACUGCAUGUGAUACUGGCGGUGCUAGAAUAUGUGAGAGGGAAGUAGAAUUCCAGGUGUAGCGGUGAAAUGCGUAGAGAUCUGGAGGAAUACCGAUGGCGAAGGCAGCUUCCUGGCAUAAUAUUGACACUGAGAUUCGAAAGCGUGGGUAGCAAACAGGAUUAGAUACCCUGGUAGUCCACGCCGUAAACGAUGUCUACUAGCCGUUGGGGUCCUUGAGACUUUAGUGGCGCAGUUAACGCGAUAAGUAGACCGCCUGGGGAGUACGGCCGCAAGGUUA
Molecule: ribosomal RNA, 549 nt
Filed under: uncultured bacterium
Lineage: Bacteria
Description: bacterial SSU rRNA
Rfam family: Bacterial small subunit ribosomal RNA
Source: RNAcentral